GCAGCCAAGCGUUCAUAG
Molecule: small nuclear RNA, 18 nt
Filed under: Arabidopsis thaliana (thale cress)
Lineage: Eukaryota; Viridiplantae; Streptophyta; Magnoliopsida; Brassicales; Brassicaceae
Description: snRNA_07849
Source: RNAcentral